AGUGAACGCUGGCGGUAUGCCUAACACAUGCAAGUCGAACGGCAGCACAGUAAGAUCUUGCUCUUACGGGUGGCGAGUGGCGGACGGGUGAGGAAUACAUCGGAAUCUACUUUUUCGUGGGUGAUAACGUAGGGAAACUUACGCUAAUACCGCAUACGACCUACGGGUGAAAGCAGGGGAUCUUCGGACCUUUCGCGAUUGAAUGAGCCGAUGUCGGAUUAGCUAGUUGGCUGGGUAAAGGCCCACCAAGGCGACGAUCCGUAGCUGGUCUGAGAGGAUGAUCAGCCACACUGGAACUGAGACACGGUCCAGACUCCUACGGGAGGCAGCAGUGGGGAAUAUUGGACAAUGGGCGCAAGCCUGACCCAGCAAUACCGCGUGGGUGAAGAAGGCCUUCGGGUUGUAAAGCCCUUUUGUUGGGAAAGAAAAGCAGCAGGUUAAUACCCCGCUGUUCUGACGGUACCCAAAGAAUAAGCACCGGCUAACUUCGUG
Molecule: ribosomal RNA, 492 nt
Filed under: uncultured bacterium
Lineage: Bacteria
Description: partial 16S ribosomal RNA
Rfam family: Bacterial small subunit ribosomal RNA
Source: RNAcentral